CCUACGGGUGGCAGCAGUAGGGAAUAUUGCACAAUGGGCGCAAGCCUGAUGCAGCAAUGCCGCGUGGAUGAAGAAGGUUUUCGGAUUGUAAACUACUUUUGUCAGAGAAGAUAGUGAUAGAGUCUAACGAAUAACCACUUGCUAAUUCCGUGCCAGCAGCCGCGGUAUUACGGAGGGUCCAAGCGCUACUUGGAAUCACUGGUCCAAAAGAUCGCGGAGGUGGGUUAGCAAGUCAGAUGUGAAAUCCGCUGGCUUAACCAUAGAACUGCAUUUGAAACUGGUAAUAUUGAGUAUGGGAGAGGGGGGUGGAAUUCCUGGUGUAGGGGUAAAAUGCGUAGAGAUCAAGAGGAAUACUGAUGGCGAAGGCGACCUGCUGGAAGAUGACUGACGCUGAGGUGCGAAAGCGUGGGGAGCAAACAGGAUUAGAUACCCCAGUAGUC
RNAcentral lists this ribosomal RNA (440 nucleotides) under uncultured bacterium. RNAcentral describes it as "partial 16S ribosomal RNA". It matches the Rfam family "Bacterial small subunit ribosomal RNA", at positions 338 to 795 of the family's 1533-position model. The record is from RNAcentral.